This 639-nucleotide long non-coding RNA is filed under the name Capsicum annuum. Its description in RNAcentral is "long non-coding RNA (CANN_LNC013984)". Lineage: Eukaryota; Viridiplantae; Streptophyta; Magnoliopsida; Solanales; Solanaceae. The record is from RNAcentral.
AAUAAAAUAGGGUUAAAUGAUAGCAACAAAUAUUAGUUGAUUACAGAAUUUAAAUACAUGUAAAAGAAGAGGACAAUGUAAGGAGCAAGACAAAACAACAAUAAUCAAAAAUUGAUUAAACCUAAUUAUAUUCCAAACAAUGACGAAGUUUACAGAAAUUAAUAAACCAACAAAAGCAAAAUUAGUUGUCCCUAUGAAUAUGAAUUUUUAUCUCAUCUUUUCUGAGUUUUCUUUCUCAUCUUGUGCUGCAAUUGUUGGCUCCUCUUUGAGUCUUUCUUACCCAACCUCCCAACAAUAAACACAACAGGCUUUAUGCAUGGAUUCUUCGAUUUGAAGUAAUUGAUUAGCGUCAAAAAUUGAGAAGACGUCAAGAAUCUGUAAUUUUUAGAAAUACACUUACAUGCACCGACAGAUCAGAUAAAACUACAGACAUGCCUAUACAAUAUCUAAUAAGAAGUCAUGUAGAAAACUAAAAUUGAAACAAAUGAACAAACUCUCAAAAGGAAUACAGAAAGUGAUGAGCAAAAAUCAUUGCAAGAAAGGAGAAAAAAAAAACUACCAAAUUAAUAAAAUAAUAUAUAGGCAUAAACGAAAUGUUCGGAAAAAAGCUCAAGCCCAACCAAAUGUUGGAAAAAUCAA